CCUACGGGGGGCAGCAGUAGGGAAUCUUCCACAAUGGGCGAAAGCCUGAUGGAGCAACGCCGCGUGGGUGAAGAAGGUCUUCGGAUCGUAAAACCCUGUUGUUAGAGAAGAAAGUGCGUGAGAGUAACUGUUCACGUUUCGACGGUAUCUAACCAGAAAGCCACGGCUAACUACGUGCCAGCAGCCGCGGUAAUACGUAGGUGGCAAGCGUUAUCCGGAUUUAUUGGGCGUAAAGGGAACGCAGGCGGUUUUUUAAGUCUGAUGUGAAAGCCUUCGGCUUAACCGGGGUAGUGCAUUGGAAACUGGGAGACUGGAGUGCAGAAGAGGAGAGUGGAACUCCAUGUGUAGCGGUGAAAUGCGUAGAUAUAUGGAAGAACACCAGUGGCGAAAGCGGCUCUCUGGUCUGUAACUGACGCUGAGGUUCGAAAGUGUGGGUAGCAAACAGGAUUAGAUACCCCGGUAGUC
Molecule: ribosomal RNA, 465 nt
Filed under: uncultured bacterium
Lineage: Bacteria
Description: partial 16S ribosomal RNA
Rfam family: Bacterial small subunit ribosomal RNA
Source: RNAcentral